This 253-nucleotide ribosomal RNA is filed under the name uncultured bacterium. RNAcentral's name for it is "partial 16S ribosomal RNA". It matches the Rfam family "Bacterial small subunit ribosomal RNA", at positions 524 to 776 of the family's 1533-position model. The record is from RNAcentral.
GACGUAGGGGGCGAGCGUUGUCCGGAAUCAUUGGGCGUAAAGCGCGUGUAGGCGGUCCGGUAAGUCCGCUGUGAAAGUCGAGGGCUCAACCCUCGAAUGCCGGUGGAUACUGUCGGGCUAGAGUACGGAAGAGGCGAGUGGAAUUCCUGGUGUAGCGGUGAAAUGCGCAGAUAUCAGGAGGAACACCAAUUGCGAAGGCAGCUCGCUGGGACGUUACUGACGCUGAGACGCGAAAGCGUGGGGAGCAAACAGG